ACCAAAUAUGGUGGAUAAGUGUAACGUUGGUGAUGCGUCUUCAUUAUUGAAGUAAGAACUUAAAUGUUAAGCACUAAUCAAAGUUUUGUGAAAGCGCACCUAUUAUGGUUUUAAAACGUGUCUAAUUUUGUUUUAAAACGCUCAAACAAUAGAUUUACAUGCAUCCGAGGUCAAAAAACACUUUAACGUGCUCAUAAUUUAAACUGCAGCAUUACCUUUUUUCCCCCAGUGUCACAAACGACUCGUUAAAUGAUCCGUUCUAAAGGAUCGUUCUAAACUCCUCCUUUCAGAGAGCAUACUCUGCUCUGAUUGGUCAGACGUCCCAGUCUGUUGUGAUUGGUCUACCGCUGUCAGCGUGUUUCAAAAUGGAAAUGCCCACUACCAUAACGAGUUUCAGCUCCGUCUGUCAGCGAGCAGCAGAUGAAGACCAGAGGCAGGGCUUUUUGUUAUGAACUUACGUAGAGCAAGAGAAGAAAAGAAAUGCCAAAGAGACAUCAAGAGCUGAAGCUUUACAAAGCAACAACAAAAAAAAGGGCUGCCGUUUUCCUGUGCAAUUCGAACAACGAGGACAGAAGUGCGGUUGAAGCUAUCAUAUCUGUGUUCUGCCGUGAGUUCAUUCAGAGGUUACGUCUUUCUCAGGGGAGGAGACUGUCCUUGAACACGAGAAAGUGUCAUCUAGAGAAGACAAGAGGGAAAGAAAGUGUCUCAGGCAAUUGGAUAGAAUAAUAUUUGGGAAGUGCACACCUUUAAUGGAAGCCCAACGUAUCAAGCAAAGCCUCUUUCAGUUGUUGUUUGUUUUGGGGUGUUUCUCCCUUCAGUCUCCUCUAGAGGAGGUCAAAUGCUCCUCAACUGGGUUAAGGGCUGGUGAUUGACUUGGCCAGUCUAAAACCUUCCACUUUUUUCCACAUGAUCAAGUCGUUUGUUGAGUUGGCAGCAUGUUUUGAAUCAUUGUCUUCAAUCAAGUGGGUUUUUGUCGUCAUUACUCUAUACAGCUCACAUACAUUGGAACAAAAUGUCGUUUCUUCGGGACCAUGGUGCAAUACAGAACAGUACACAAGACUACAUCUUGCUUCAUGAUGAAGUUCCUCCUGAUUAAUUUAAUUAAUUUCUAUGUAAAUUGACAGACAAAAUGUUCCUGUAACCUCUUGAAACCAUUCUGCUGCUCCCAUCAUGAGUUCCGUCAUCAAUAAAGAUCAGUAAGAAUGUUCCAGAAGCAGCCAUGCAAGCCCAAGCCAUGACACUACCUCCACCAUGCUUGACUGAUGAGAUUCUAUGUUUUCUUCCUCCAUAAUUUGGCCUUUCCUUCACAUGGGUAGAGGUUAAUCUUGGUUUCAGAACAUUUGCGGCUCAUCUCUCACCCAAAUGCCUUCAAUGUAUAGUGAAAAUAAUAGACUCUGCCUUGGCGUUCCGAUAAUGUAAGAAAUCAGAAAUCAGAAUUCCGGUUUGGCCUUUACCUUAACACCAACACACAACUGUUCAUUUUAGUUUUUACCCUGUGUUCACACUUGCAAGCGACAAAGCGACUGAGAAAGCAGAGAUUUUCUAAAGUCUAUGCAAAUUAGAUACGACUAUGAGUAAAGCGACAAAUUCUAACAAUUGGCUCGAAUGAUUUCAUCGGAUCAUUCCUAUAGCAUGUGUGGUCUGACAUUGCUACAGUUGCCCAUGCACAACAUCAGUUCCUACCUGAAAUUCAUUCCUUUUUACUGAUUGACACACAAAAAUGGAAAAAUAACUGAGGAUUCAUCUUAUCCUAUCGUAUAGAUCUGGCUUUAAAUGUCUAUUGAAGACAAAUAAAUCUUGGAAGGAAGUAUCAGUGAUCGUUGGUGCCUCUAGAGAAUGUAUCUAGCUAGCAUAGUCAACCUGCUAAUCUGCUAACAAAGUGAAUACCAAGCAUAGCACAUAACAUAAGUCAUAAACAACCAAUUUUCACUUAAUUUUUCAACCAAUUUAUAUAACUUAUUGGCAGUGGUAGCUUUAAGGGGUAAGGCUCUGGGUUACUGAUCAGAAGAUCGGGGGUUCAAGCCCCAGCACCGGCAAGCUGCCACUCUUGGGCCCUUGAGAAAGGCCCUUAACCCUCCCUGCUCCAGUUGUGCUGUAUCAUGUCUGACCCUGCACUCUAACCCCGACUUCCUAACAAGCCAGGAUAUGCGAAGAAAAUAAUUUCACUGUGCUGUAAUGUAUACAACACCAAUAAAGAUGUCUUCUUCUAAUUUAGUGUCUCUGGUAAGUCAAUGUAGCUAGUACAGCUAGCUUGCAAGGCUAAUCUGCUAGCAAAGCUAAUACAACGCCUAGCGUGUAGCAUGUACAUCAAAUAAAACAAUUUUCAAACUGGUGUCACUUUACUAACAUACUAGAAUACAUUUAAAAUAAUUUGAAGCAAAAGUAAAUCAUAUUCUGUAGUAAAUCUUGUGCUGUAGGCUUUACAUUUGAGCUACAACCAUUUCUCAUCAAAGCUAC
Molecule: long non-coding RNA, 2457 nt
Organism: Ictalurus furcatus (blue catfish)
Lineage: Eukaryota; Metazoa; Chordata; Actinopteri; Siluriformes; Ictaluridae
Exons: 4
Source: RefSeq, a predicted model, not a curated record